RNAcentral lists this small nucleolar RNA (122 nucleotides) under Nannospalax galili (Upper Galilee mountains blind mole rat). Its description in RNAcentral is "Small nucleolar RNA SNORA40 (ENSNGAG00000008725.1)". It matches the Rfam family "Small nucleolar RNA SNORA40". From Rfam's summary of the family: The snoRNA ACA 40 belongs to the H/ACA family of snoRNAs and guides the pseudouridylation of 28S rRNA subunit at position U4565. NB This family has a high threshold value to exclude a large number of closely related sequences that do not appear to have conserved H and ACA boxes, and may be pseudogenes. The record is from Rfam by way of RNAcentral. Lineage: Eukaryota; Metazoa; Chordata; Mammalia; Rodentia; Spalacidae.
AGCACUUGUAUGUGUUUUUAACUGGAGACAAAGGCAUGAAAGACAGUUACAAAAAUAAAUCCUCUUUUGUAAUCCACAGCUCACCGUUCAGUAUGAGUUUUGAUGAAUAGAAGAAGAAUAUG